CUACAGAGGGUGCAAGCGUUAAUCGGAAUUACUGGGCAUAAAGCGCGCGUAGGCGGUUUGUUAAGUUGGAUGCGAAAGCCCCGGGCUUAACCUGGGAGGGUCAUUCAAAACUGGCAGACUAGAGUGUGGUAGAGGGUAGUGGAAUUCCUAGUGUAGCGGUGAAAUGCGUAGAGAUUAGGAGGAACACCAGUGGCGAAGGCGACUGCCUGGACCAACACUGACGCUGAGGUGCGAAAGCGUGGGUAGCGAACAGGAUUAGAAACCCCAGUAGUCC
RNAcentral lists this ribosomal RNA (274 nucleotides) under uncultured bacterium. RNAcentral describes it as "partial 16S ribosomal RNA". It matches the Rfam family "Bacterial small subunit ribosomal RNA", at positions 523 to 796 of the family's 1533-position model. The record is from RNAcentral.